GUCGUGGGAGAAGUCGGGGCAACUCGGCGAGUAAACCGGCGCACGGGUGCCUAACACAUGGAUAACCUGCCUUGAAGUCCGGGAUAACCCGUCCCAAGACGGGCUAAUACCAGAUAAGACCACGAAGAGUUCGCUGUUCGGGGUAAAAGGUGGCCUCUGCUCUUGCAAGCUAUCACUUCGAGAGGGGUCCGCGUCCUAUCAGCUAGUUGGUGAGGUAAUGGCUCACCAAGGCUGAGACGGGUAGCUGGUCUGAGAGGAUGGUCAGCCACACUGGGACUGAGACACGGCCCAGAGUCCUACGGGAUGCAGCAGUCAGGAAUCUUGCGCAAUGGAGGAAACUCUGACGCAGCGACGCCGCGUGGGUGAUGAAGGCCUUCGGGUCGUAAAGCCCUGUCGGAGGGGAAGAAAAGCUGGUUGGCUAAUAUCCAACCGGCCCUUGACGGUACCCUCAAAGGAAGCACCGGCUAACUCCGUGCCAGCAGCCGCGGUAAGACGGAGGGUGCAAGCGUUGUUCGGAUUGACUGGGCGUAAAGGGCGCGUAGGCGGCGGGGUAAGUCUGGUGUGAAAUCUAGGAGCUCAACUCCUAAACUGCACUGGAUACUGCUCUGCUAGAGGACUGGAGAGGAGACUGGAAUUCACGGUGUAGCAGUGAAAUGCGUAGAUAUCGUGAGGAAGACCAGUGGCGAAGGCGGGUCUCUGGACAGUUCCUGACGCUGAGGCGCGAAGGCCAGGGGAGCAAACGGGAUUAGAUACCCCGGUAGUCCUGGCAGUAAACGGUGCACGUUUGGUGUGCGCGGAUUCGACCCCGUGCGUGCCGGAGCUAACGCGUUAAACGUGCCGCCUGAGAAGUACGGUCGCAAGAUUAAAAACUCAAGAAAUUGACGGGGGC
This 889-nucleotide ribosomal RNA is filed under the name uncultured bacterium. RNAcentral describes it as "bacterial SSU rRNA". It matches the Rfam family "Bacterial small subunit ribosomal RNA", at positions 61 to 920 of the family's 1533-position model. The record is from RNAcentral.